UGACAAAAUGCCCUCUUCCCUGGAAC
This 26-nucleotide non-coding RNA is filed under the name Mus musculus (house mouse). The record is from RNAcentral. Lineage: Eukaryota; Metazoa; Chordata; Mammalia; Rodentia; Muridae.